Molecule: long non-coding RNA, 459 nt
Filed under: Ananas comosus (pineapple)
Lineage: Eukaryota; Viridiplantae; Streptophyta; Magnoliopsida; Poales; Bromeliaceae
Description: long non-coding RNA (ACOM_LNC040881)
Source: RNAcentral
GAGUAUAAGUUAGAGAGAGAGAGAGCAUAAUUAAAAAAAUAGAAAGAAAAAUAUAGUCGAAAUUAGAGGAAGUGAGAGAGUUGAAAUUUUAGAAAGAGAGAGAGAGAGAGAGAGAGAAAGCUUAGUUUAGAGAGAGAAAAAAAAGUUGAAUUUUAGAGAGAAAAAUAAGUUUAGAGAGAGAUAUAAGGUUAGAGUGUAAAGAAAAAUAAUAUCAAUUAGCAGGCGGGUAGGAAGAAAGAAAGAUAUUAGAUCUAUUAUGAUUACCCAAAUUCAUUAAUAUGAGGAUACCCAUCAUCCCUCAAGGGAAUGAGAUUAGUACUUUGGGGUGAAUCAUAUUCCCAAGUGAAUCCAAUAUUACUGACUAGAUUACUUAGUGCGUUUAGCCAAACACCGUCAUAUUUUUUUAUUCUCAUUAGAUUACUAGAAAUCUUUAAAAGAUAGCGCGAACCAAACGCACCC